GAUGAACGCUGGCGGCGUGCCUAAUACAUGCAAGUCGAGCGAACAGACGAGGAGCUUGCUCCUUUGACGUUAGCGGCGGACGGGUGAGUAACACGUGGGUAACCUACCUAUAAGACUGGGAUAACUUCGGGAAACCGGAGCUAAUACCGGAUAAUAUUUCGAACCGCAUGGUUCGAUAGUGAAAGAUGGCUCUGCUAUCACUUAUAGAUGGACCUGCGCCGUAUUAGCUAGUUGGUAAGGUAACGGCUUACCAAGGCAACGAUACGUAGCCGACCUGAGAGGGUGAUCGGCCACACUGGAACUGAGACACGGUCCAGACUCCUACGGGAGGCAGCAGUAGGGAAUCUUCCGCAAUGGGCGAAAGCCUGACGGAGCAACGCCGCGUGAGUGAUGAAGGUCUUCGGAUCGUAAAACCCUGUUAUUAGGGAAGAACAAACGUGUAAGUAACUGUGCACGUCUUGACGGUACCUAAUCAGAAAGCCACGGCUAACUACGUG
RNAcentral lists this ribosomal RNA (497 nucleotides) under uncultured bacterium. Its description in RNAcentral is "partial 16S ribosomal RNA". It matches the Rfam family "Bacterial small subunit ribosomal RNA", at positions 28 to 507 of the family's 1533-position model. The record is from RNAcentral.